GGGCCUUUAGCUUAGUGGCGAAGCAGACGGCUCAUAACCGGCCAUACAUUGGUUCAAUUCCAACAGGGCCCC
This 72-nucleotide transfer RNA is filed under the name Paenibacillus oralis. RNAcentral's name for it is "Paenibacillus sp. KCOM 3021 tRNA-Met". It matches the Rfam family "tRNA". Rfam says of the family: Transfer RNA (tRNA) molecules are approximately 80 nucleotides in length. The record is from RNAcentral. Lineage: Bacteria; Bacillati; Bacillota; Bacilli; Caryophanales; Paenibacillaceae.